This 741-nucleotide ribosomal RNA is filed under the name Caloplaca sp. RNAcentral's name for it is "partial large subunit ribosomal RNA". It matches the Rfam family "Eukaryotic large subunit ribosomal RNA", at positions 165 to 924 of the family's 3401-position model. The record is from RNAcentral. Lineage: Eukaryota; Fungi; Ascomycota; Lecanoromycetes; Teloschistales; Teloschistaceae.
CGGGCGCGGCACCGGUCUAAGUUCCUUGGAACGGGGCGUCAUAGAGGGUGAGAAUCCCGUAUGUGACCGGCGACCAAGCCCAUGUGAAACUCCUUCGACGAGUCGAGUUGUUUGGGAAUGCAGCUCAAAAUGGGUGGUAAAUUUCAUCUAAAGCUAAAUACCGGCCAGAGACCGAUAGCGCACAAGUAGAGUGAUCGAAAGAUGAAAAGCACUUUGGAAAGAGAGUCAAAAAGUACGUGAAAUUGUUGAAAGGGAAGCGCUUGCAACCAGACCUGCCCGCGGGCGAUCACCCGUCCUUCUGGGCGGUGCACUCGACCGCGAUCAGGCCAGCAUCGGUUCGGGCGGCCGGAUAAAGGCCCUGGGAACGUAUCUCCUUUCGGGGAGUGUUAUAGCCCUCGGUGCAAUGCGGCCAGCCUGGACCGAGGACCGCGCUUCGGCUAGGAUGCUGGCGUAAUGGUUGUAAGCGGCCCGUCUUGAAACACGGACCAAGGAGUCUAACAUCUAUGCGAGUGUUUGGGUGUCAAACCCAUGCGCGUAAUGAAAGUGAACGGAGGUGGGAACCCGUCAGGGCGCACCAUCGACCGAUCCAGAUGUCUUCGGAUGGAUUUGAGUACGAGCAUAGCUGUUGGGACCCGAAAGAUGGUGAACUAUGCCAGAAUAGGGUGAAGCCAGAGGAAACUCUGGUGGAGGCUCGCAGCGGUUCUGACGUGCAAAUCGAUCGUCAAAUUUUGGCAUAGGGGC